AAAAACCCCUACAUAAACAAACACAUGGGCGCAGACAUUUUGGACACCCAAAGUUGUGCGGAGGAGAAAAUGCUAGCUGGCGCGUGAUUGGUCAAUAAGAGAAAAGACUUGUUAUGUAUUUGACAAGUGAAAUAAAGUUGAUAAAAAUCUCAUAUCAAGACUUGGGUUUCUUUGAGAUAUAUAGGAGUUACAGGUAAAAAUUUGAAGGGAGGGGUGCCCUUUGGUUAGAGAUUUUCAUUUGGUGUCAAACGCACCUUGUUGUAAACAAAUGGAAAUUGAAAGUAAAAGUGCCGCGUGACGGUAUAUUUUUUCUGGCAUGUUUUGUUUUCCAAUAUCUCGAACUUUCACGACAAAAAGGCCAUUUGUCCGAAAUUCAAUAUAUGUAUGAGUGACAGGGGCUCAAGUUUGUAUGGAAGUCUAUGGGAAAACAUUUAGUGGUGUUUGUCCUAUAGAAUAGCAAUGCAUUCUCAAGAAGGAAGAGAUUAAUGAACCCUCCCCUCUUACAAUGAACAACACAUGGACACUCUCAGGAUGGUCCCUUUGCUUUCAUUAAGAGUUCCAAGAUGUGUGUCUGAUUGACUGGGGUGUGAAAUGUAACAGCCAAUGGUGUACUUAAGCUAAGACUGUCAGUCCCAAUAUUCAAGAGGAAAAACCCCUACAUAAACAAACACAUGGGCGCAGACAUUUUGGACACCCAAAGUUGUGCGGAGGAGAAAAUGCUAGCUGGCGCGUGAUUGGUCAAUAAGAGAAAAGACUUGUUAUGUAUUUGACAAGUGAAAUAAAGUUGAUAAAAAUCUCAUAUCAAGACUUGGGUUUCUUUGAGAUAUAUAGGAGUUACAGGUAAAAAUUUGAAGGGAGGGGUGCCCUUUGGUUAGAGAUUUUCAUUUGGUGUCAAACGCACCUUGUUGUAAACAAAUGGAAAUUGAAAGUAAAAGUGCCGCGUGACGGUAUAUUUUUUCUGGCAUGUUUUGUUUUCCAAUAUCUCGAACUUUCACGACAAAAAGGCCAUUUGCCCGAAAUUCAAUAUAUGUAUGAGUGACCGGGGCUCAAGUUUGUAUGGAAGUCUAUGGGAAAACAUUUAGUGUUGUUUGUCCUAUAGAAUAGCAAUGCAUUCUCAAGAAGGAAGAGAUUAAUGAACCCUCCCCUCUUACAAUGAACAACACAUGGACACUCUCAGGAUGGUCCCUUUGCUUUCAUUAAGAGUUCCAAGAUGUGUGUCUGAUUGACUGGGGUGUGAAAUGUAACAGCCAAUGGUGUACUUAAGCUAAGACUGUCAGUCCCAAUAUUCAAGAGGAAAAACCCCUACAUAAACAAACACAUGGGCGCAGACAUUUUGGACACCCAAAGUUGUGCGGAGGAGAAAAUGCUAGCUGGCGCGUGAUUGGUCAAUAAGAGAAAAGACUUGUUAUGUAUUUGACAAGUGAAAUAAAGUUGAUAAAAAUCUCAUAUCAAGACUUGGGUUUCUUUGAGAUAUAUAGGAGUUACAGCAAUGCAUUCUCAAGAAGGAAGAGAUUAAUGAACCCUCCCCUCUUACAAUGAACAACACAUGGACACUCUCAGGAUGGUCCCUUUGCUUUCAUUAAGAGUUCCAAGAUGUGUGUCUGAUUGACUGGGGUGUGAAAUGUAACAGCCAAUGGUGUACUUAAGCUAAGACUGUCAGUCCCAAUAUUCAAGAGGAAAAACCCCUACAUAAACAAACACAUGGGCGCAGACAUUUUGGACACCCAAAGUUGUGCGGAGGAGAAAAUGCUAGCUGGCGCGUGAUUGGUCAAUAAGAGAAAAGACUUGUUAUGUAUUUGACAAGUGAAAUAAAGUUGAUAAAAAUCUCAUAUCAAGACUUGGGUUUCUUUGAGAUAUAUAGGAGUUACAGGUAAAAAUUUGAAGGGAGGGGUGCCCUUUGGUUAGAGAUUUUCAUUUGGUGUCAAACGCACCUUGUUGUAAACAAAUGGAAAUUGAAAGUAAAAGUGCCGCGUGACGGUAUAUUUUUUCUGGCAUGUUUUGUUUUCCAAUAUCUCGAACUUUCACGACAAAAAGGCCAUUUGUCCGAAAUUCAAUAUAUGUAUGAGUGACAGGGGCUCAAGUUUGUAUGGAAGUCUAUGGGAAAACAUUUAGUGGUGUUUGUCCUAUAGAAUAGCAAUGCAUUCUCAAGAAGGAAGAGAUUAAUGAACCCUCCCCUCUUACAAUGAACAACACAUGGACACUCUCAGGAUGGUCCCUUUGCUUUCAUUAAGAGUUCCAAGGUAUGGUUUUCCUAGCCAAUCUAGUUAAU
Saccostrea cuccullata (small rock oyster) is the source of this 2269-nucleotide long non-coding RNA. RefSeq lists it as uncharacterized. The transcript has 11 exons. NCBI's taxonomy places the organism in Eukaryota, Metazoa, Mollusca, Bivalvia, Ostreida, Ostreidae. The record is from RefSeq and is a predicted model, not a curated record.